This 73-nucleotide transfer RNA is filed under the name Ixodes scapularis (black-legged tick). It matches the Rfam family "tRNA". From Rfam's summary of the family: Transfer RNA (tRNA) molecules are approximately 80 nucleotides in length. Their secondary structure includes four short double-helical elements and three loops (D, anti-codon, and T loops). The record is from Rfam by way of RNAcentral. Lineage: Eukaryota; Metazoa; Arthropoda; Arachnida; Ixodida; Ixodidae.
UCCUGGUUAGCUCAGUUGGUAGAACGCUCAACUGGAAAUGGAGAGGUGCCUGGUUCGAUACCAGGACCGGGCG